RNAcentral lists this ribosomal RNA (119 nucleotides) under Pteropus alecto (black flying fox). Lineage: Eukaryota; Metazoa; Chordata; Mammalia; Chiroptera; Pteropodidae. The record is from RNAcentral.
GUCUACGACCAUGCAACCCUGAACAAGCCUGAUCCCAUCUGAACUCAGAAGCUAAGCAAGUUUGGGCCUGGUUAGUACUUAGAUGGGAGACCACCUAGAAAGAUCAGGUGCUGUAGGCA